AGAACGAACGCUGGCGGCAGGCUUAACACAUGCAAGUCGAACGCCCCGCAAGGGGAAUGGCAGACGGGUGAGUAACGCGUGGGAACGUACCCUUCGGUUCGGAAUAACCCAGGGAAACUUGGGCUAAUACCGGAUACGUCCGCAAGGAGAAAGGUUUACUGACCGAAGGAUCGGCCCGCGUCGGAUUAG
Molecule: ribosomal RNA, 189 nt
Filed under: uncultured soil bacterium
Lineage: Bacteria
Description: partial 16S ribosomal RNA
Rfam family: Bacterial small subunit ribosomal RNA
Source: RNAcentral